This 300-nucleotide ribosomal RNA is filed under the name Paenibacillus brasilensis. Its description in RNAcentral is "partial 16S ribosomal RNA". It matches the Rfam family "Bacterial small subunit ribosomal RNA", at positions 1 to 287 of the family's 1533-position model. Lineage: Bacteria; Bacillati; Bacillota; Bacilli; Caryophanales; Paenibacillaceae. The record is from RNAcentral.
UUAUUGGAGAGUUUGAUCCUGGCUCAGGACGAACGCUGGCGGCGUGCCUAAUACAUGCAAGUCGAGCGGGGUUCGUUAGAAGCUUGCUUCUAAUGAACCUAGCGGCGGACGGGUGAGUAACACGUAGGCAACCUGCCCACAAGACAGGGAUAACUACCGGAAACGGUAGCUAAUACCCGAUACAUCCUUUUCCUGCAUGGGAGAAGGAGGAAAGACGGAGCAAUCUGUCACUUGUGGAUGGGCCUGCGGCGCAUUAGCUAGUUGGUGGGGUAAAGGCCUACCAAGGCGACGAUGCGUAGC